RNAcentral lists this ribosomal RNA (492 nucleotides) under uncultured bacterium. RNAcentral describes it as "partial 16S ribosomal RNA". It matches the Rfam family "Bacterial small subunit ribosomal RNA", at positions 29 to 507 of the family's 1533-position model. The record is from RNAcentral.
AGUGAACGCUGGCGGUAGGCCUAACACAUGCAAGUCGAACGGCAGCACAGUAAGAGCUUGCUCUUACGGGUGGCGAGUGGCGGACGGGUGAGGAAUACAUCGGAAUCUACUUUUUCGUGGGGGAUAACGUAGGGAAACUUACGCUAAUACCGCAUACGACCUACGGGUGAAAGCAGGGGAUCUUCGGACCUUGCGCGAUUGAAUGAGCCGAUGUCGGAUUAGCUAGUUGGCGGGGUAAAGGCCCACCAAGGCGACGAUCCGUAGCUGGUCUGAGAGGAUGAUCAGCCACACUGGAACUGAGACACGGUCCAGACUCCUACGGGAGGCAGCAGUGGGGAAUAUUGGACAAUGGGCGAAAGCCUGAUCCAGCCAUACCGCGUGGGUGAAGAAGGCCUUCGGGUUGUAAAGCCCUUUUGUUGGGAAAGAAAAGCAGCAGGUUAAUACCCCGCUGUUCUGGCGGUACCCAAAGAAUAAGCACCGGCUAACUUCGUG